Molecule: ribosomal RNA, 1372 nt
Filed under: uncultured bacterium
Lineage: Bacteria
Description: bacterial SSU rRNA
Rfam family: Bacterial small subunit ribosomal RNA
Source: RNAcentral
AGAGUUUGAUCCUGGCUCAGGACGAACGCUGGCGGCGCGCCUAACACAUGCAAGUCGAACGGAGCUGAGAGAAGCUUGCUUUUCUUAGCUUAGUGGCGAACGGGUGAGUAACGCGUGAGUAACCUGCCCUGGAGUGGGGGACAACAGUUGGAAACGACUGCUAAUACCGCAUAAGCCCACGAUCCGGCAUCGGAUUGAGGGAAAAGGAUUUAUUCGCUUCAGGAUGGACUCGCGUCCAAUUAGCUAGUUGGUGAGGUAACGGCCCACCAAGGCGACGAUUGGUAGCCGGACUGAGAGGUUGAACGGCCACAUUGGGACUGAGACACGGCCCAGACUCCUACGGGAGGCAGCAGUGGGGGAUAUUGCACAAUGGGGGAAACCCUGAUGCAGCGACGCCGCGUGGAGGAAGAAGGUUUUCGGAUUGUAAACUCCUGUCGUUAGGGACGAUAAUGACGGUACCUAACAAGAAAGCACCGGCUAACUACGUGCCAGCAGCCGCGGUAAAACGUAGGGUGCAAGCGUUGUCCGGAAUUACUGGGUGUAAAGGGAGCGCAGGCGGGAAGACAAGUUGGAAGUGAAAUCUAUGGGCUCAACCCAUAAACUGCUCUCAAAACUGUUUUUCUUGAGUAGUGCAGAGGUAGGCGGAAUUCCCGGUGUAGCGGUGGAAUGCGUAGAUAUCGGGAGGAACACCAGUGGCGAAGGCGGCCUACUGGGCACCAACUGACGCUGAGGCUCGAAAGUGUGGGUAGCAAACAGGAUUAGAUACCCUGGUAGUCCACACCGUAAACGAUGAUUACUAGGUGUUGGAGGAUUGACCCCUUCAGUGCCGCAGUUAACACAAUAAGUAAUCCACCUGGGGAGUACGACCGCAAGGUUGAAACUCAAAGGAAUUGACGGGGGCCCGCACAAGCAGUGGAGUAUGUGGUUUAAUUCGACGCAACGCGAAGAACCUUACCAAGUCUUGACAUCCUGCGACGAUGCUGGAAACAGUAUUUUCCUUCGGGACGCAGAGACAGGUGGUGCAUGGUUGUCGUCAGCUCGUGUCGUGAGAUGUUGGGUUAAGUCCCGCAACGAGCGCAACCCUUGUGAUUAGUUGCUACGCAAGAGCACUCUAAUCAGACUGCCGUUGACAAAACGGAGGAAGGUGGGGACGACGUCAAAUCAUCAUGCCCUUUAUGACCUGGGCUACACACGUACUACAAUGGUCGUUAACAGAGGGAAGCAAUACCGCGAGGUGGAGCAAAACCCUAAAAACGGUCUCAGUUCAGAUUGUAGGCUGCAACUCGCCUACAUGAAGUUGGAUUCGCUAGUAAUCGCGCAUCAGCCACGGCGCGGUGAAUACGUUCCCGGGCCUUGUACUCACCGCCCGUCA